This 24-nucleotide non-coding RNA is filed under the name Cricetulus griseus (Chinese hamster). Lineage: Eukaryota; Metazoa; Chordata; Mammalia; Rodentia; Cricetidae. The record is from RNAcentral.
UUAACAAGGUUGUCCAGGCUGGGU